CAUGAGGAUAAAUGGAAGCAGAGGUUGGUGCUGGCAGGGGCCCCGCUGAUCUGGGCGUCCUCAGAGGAUUCGCUACAAGCAUUGUCUUUAGUGUCAGAUCUAAGGUGCGAUUGUCCUGGAGCUACUGCUCUCUGCCCUGCCAUCACUAGACACCAGUGCUUUCCCGGAUGUGAUGUAGGAUUCUUUCUAUAAUGCCCAGGACAGUGCCCCAAAGAAACGAAAAGGAAAAGACCAGAGUGGGUAAGUGAUGCUCAGUGGGGUAGUUUGGAAUUAGCCAGAGGGAUUCUUUUCAGAGCUUCUCCACUUCUAGCUUCAUCUCCAGUGUUUCAGCAACCAGAGCAAGAGCCACCUCCAGAAGCCCCUUCGCUGACGGUACCUACGCACAGGUAUUGCCUGAGAAUAACUUGUGAUCAGGGCACCAGAACUGGGGGUGCCCAGGGUCCAUGGC
RNAcentral lists this long non-coding RNA (448 nucleotides) under Gopherus evgoodei (Goodes thornscrub tortoise). RNAcentral's name for it is "lncRNA (ENSGEVG00005004418.1)". The record is from RNAcentral. Lineage: Eukaryota; Metazoa; Chordata; Testudines; Testudinidae.